RNAcentral lists this ribosomal RNA (253 nucleotides) under uncultured bacterium. RNAcentral describes it as "partial 16S ribosomal RNA". It matches the Rfam family "Bacterial small subunit ribosomal RNA", at positions 524 to 776 of the family's 1533-position model. The record is from RNAcentral.
UACGAGGGGGGCGAGCGUUGUUCGGAAUUAUUGGGCGUAAAGGGUGCGUAGGCGGUUCCGCAAGUCCUGUGUGAAAUCUUCGGGCUCAACUCGAAGUCUGCACGGGAAACUGCGGGGCUUGAGUGUGGGAGAGGUGAGUGGAAUUCCCGGUGUAGCGGUGAAAUGCGCAGAGAUCGGAAAGAACACCAACGGCGAAAGCACUCUGCUGGGCCGACACUGACACUGAGAGACGAAAGCUAGGGGAGCGAAUGGG